AAGACUAUACUUUCAGGGAUCAUUUCUAUAUGUUACUAGAGAAGUUACUCUGAUUGUGUAGAGCACCGGAAACCAUGAGGAGGAGCAAGAGCAUUCUCUCCCGAGCGUGAAGCUGGCUCUAGAUGUUGCUUCUGCCGCUGCCUUUUGCCAUUGAUGAUUGUUCUUUCCUUCCUUUGGAGUUGGUAGAGGAAGAGGAUGCAAUCUGAGUAGU
Molecule: small nucleolar RNA, 211 nt
Organism: Suncus etruscus (white-toothed pygmy shrew)
Lineage: Eukaryota; Metazoa; Chordata; Mammalia; Eulipotyphla; Soricidae
Product: small nucleolar RNA U3
Exons: 1
Source: RefSeq, a predicted model, not a curated record